RNAcentral lists this ribosomal RNA (888 nucleotides) under Agromyza sp. Agvt. RNAcentral describes it as "partial 28S ribosomal RNA". The record is from RNAcentral. Lineage: Eukaryota; Metazoa; Arthropoda; Insecta; Diptera; Agromyzidae.
ACUUCAACCUGAUCAAGUAUAGUUCACCAUCUUUCGGGUCACAGCAUAUAUGCUCAAGGUACGCUCUAGUUAGAGGCAUAAAUAGCAUUUAAAAAACACUAUUAUACAUAACUGUAUAGAACGCCCUGGGAUUGUAUUAAUAAAUAUAUAAAUAUAUUAAAAAUUAAUCCCAUUUAAAUAAAGUUAAGUUAAUUAUGCUUAAGGGUUUACAUAAAAUGUUACCCAAAAGCUUGCACAUAUGUUAGACUCCUUGGUCCGUGUUUCAAGACGGGUCCCGAAGGUAUCCUGAAUCUUUCGCAUUGUUAAUCGUAUUAAUGCGAAUAAAAAAAUUUUAUAUUCUUUAUUAAAUUUCCAUAUGGAAAUUUUAGCAUCAUACAUAUGAUUAAAUCUAUCAACACUUUAUCAAAUCAGUGUAAAGGCAUUUAUUUUAUGUUAAUAUUAAAAAUAUUAAUUUAAAUAAACUAUACCAAACUGAUCUUAUGAUAAAUAUGUUUAAUAUGUUAAUAGAUUACAAUGUCAAUUUAUAUGAAGAAAAUGCACACUAUUUUAAUAAUAUAAAUUAUAUAUCAUUAUCAUAAUGAUGAAUUCUUCAUAAUUGAUAUUCAGGUUCAUCGGGCUUAACCUCUAAGCAGUUUCACGUACUAUUUAACUCUCUAUUCAGAGUUCUUUUCAACUUUCCCUCACGGUACUUGUUUACUAUCGGUCUCAUGGUUAUAUUUAGUUUUAGAUGGAGUUUACCACCCACUUAGUGCUGCACUAUCAAGCAACACGACUCUUUGGAAAUAUCUUCUAGUAAUCAUUAUUGUUAUACGGGCCUGGCACCCUCUUUGGGUAAAUGGCCUCGUUCAAGAAGGACUUAAAUCAAUAAUAUUUCAUACUAGAAUUAAG